GUGUCAGCCGCCGCGGUAAAACCAGCACCUCAAGUGGUCAGGAGGAUUAUUGGGCCUAAAGCAUCCGUAGCCUGCUCUGUAAGUUUCCGGUUAAAUCCAUUAGCUUAACUGAUGGGCCGCCGGAAAAACUGCAAAGCUAGGGAGUGGGAGAGGUAGACGGUACUCGGUAGGAAGGGGUAAAAUCCUUUGAUCUAUUGAUGACCACCUGUGGCGAAGGCGGUCUACCAGAACACGUUCGACGGUGAGGGAUGAAAGCUGGGGGAGCAAACCGGAUUAGAUACCCGGGUAGUCCCAGCUGUAAACGAUGCAGACUCGGUGAUGCCCUGGCUUGUGGCCAGUGCAGUGCCGCAGGGAAGCCGUUAAGUUUGCCGCCUGGGAAGUACGUACGCAAGUAUGAAACUUAAAGGAAUUGGCGGGGGAGCACCACAAGGGGUGAAGCCUGCGGUUCAAUUGGAGUCAACGCCAGAAAUCUUACCCGAGGAGACAGCAGAAUGAAGGUCAAGCUGGAGACUUUACCAGACAAGCUGAGAAGUGGUGCAUGGCCGUCGCCAGCUCGUGCCGUGAGAUGUCCUGUUAAGUCAGGUAACGAGCGAGAUCCCUGCCUCUAGUUGCCACCAUUACUCUCAGGAGUAGUGGGGCGAAUUAGCGGGACCGCCACAGUUAAUGUGGAGGAAGGAAGGGGCCACGGCAGGUCAGUAUGCCCUGAAACCUUGGGGCCACACGCGGGCUGCAAUGAUAGUGACAAUGAGUUCCUAAACCGAAAGGUGGAGGCAAUCUUCAAACGCUAUCACAGUUAUGAUUGAGGGCUGCAACUCGCCCUCAUGAAUAUGGAAUCCCUAGUAACUGCGUGUCAUUACCGCGCGGUGAAUACGUCCCUGCUCCUUGCACACACCGCCCGUC
This 900-nucleotide ribosomal RNA is filed under the name uncultured archaeon. RNAcentral describes it as "bacterial SSU rRNA". It matches the Rfam family "Archaeal small subunit ribosomal RNA", at positions 455 to 1354 of the family's 1478-position model. The record is from RNAcentral.